AACGCACAUUGCACUCCUUGGUAUUCCGAGGAGUAUGCCUGUUUCAGUAUCAUGAGCACUCUCACAACUAACCUUUGGGUGAAAUUGUGGAAUUGGAAUGCGCCGAUUGUAAUAAUCAGCCCUUCUAAAAUAUAUUUCAUGACUGUCACCUAACACAGCAGUUUGGCCUAAUAGUUUUGACAUUGAUUUGUCAAAUCUUUGGCUUACAUUUGCUUCAGGUUGUCAGUCUUGAUAAUACAGAAAACUCAUUCAAAUUUUGAUCUGAAAUCAGGUAGGGCUACCCGCUGAACUUAA
Molecule: unclassified non-coding RNA, 294 nt
Filed under: Umbelopsis sp.
Lineage: Eukaryota; Fungi; Mucoromycota; Umbelopsidomycetes; Umbelopsidales; Umbelopsidaceae
Also listed under: 2 other names
Description: partial contains 5.8S ribosomal RNA, internal transcribed spacer 2, and large subunit ribosomal RNA
Source: RNAcentral